This 867-nucleotide ribosomal RNA is filed under the name uncultured archaeon. RNAcentral describes it as "bacterial SSU rRNA". It matches the Rfam family "Archaeal small subunit ribosomal RNA", at positions 1 to 878 of the family's 1478-position model. The record is from RNAcentral.
CUCCGGUUGAUCCUGCCGGACCCGACUGCUAUCAGAGUGGGACUAAGCCAUGCGAGUCAACAUAGCAAUAUGUGGCAUACGGCUCAGUAACACGUAGUCAACAUGCCCAGGGGACGUGGAUAACCUCGGGAAACUGAGGAUAAACCGCGAUAGGUCAUCACUUCUGGAAUGGGUAAUGACUUAAAUCUAUAUGGCCCCUGGAUUGGACUGCGGCCGAUCAGGCUGUUGGUGAGGUAAUGGCCCACCAAACCUGUAACCGGUACGGGCUCUGAGAGGAGGAGCCCGGAGAUGGGCACUGAGACAAGGGCCCAGGCCCUAUGGGGCGCAGCAGGCGCGAAACCUCUGCAAUAGGCGAAAGCUUGACAGGGUUACUCUGAGUGAUUUCCGUUAAGGAGAUCUUUUGGCACCUCUAAAAAUGGUGCAGAAUAAGGGGUGGGCAAGUCUGGUGUCAGCCGCCGCGGUAAUACCAGCACCCCGAGUGGUCGGGACGUUUAUUGGGCCUAAAGCAUCCGUAGCCGGUUCUACAAGUCUUCCGUUAAAUCCACCUGCUUAACAGAUGGGCUGCGGAAGAUACUAUAGAGCUAGGAGGCGGGAGAGGCAAGCGGUACUCGAUGGGUAGGGGUAAAAUCCGUUGAUCCAUUGAAGACCACCAGUGGCGAAGGCGGCUUGCCAGAACGCGCUCGACGGUGAGGGAUGAAAGCUGGGGGAGCAAACCGGAUUAGAUACCCGGGUAGUCCCAGCUGUAAACGAUGCAGACUCGGUGAUGAGUUGGCUUAUUGCUAACUCAGUGCCGCAGGGAAGCCGUUAAGUUUGCCGCCUGGGAGUACGGUCGCAAGACUGAAACUUAAAGGAAUUGGCGGGGGAGCA